AGCUUUGCGCAGUGGCAGUAUCGUAGCCAAUGAGGUUUAUCCGAGGCGCGAUUAUUGCUAAUUGAAAACUUUUCCCAAUACCCCGCCAUGACGACUUGAAAUAUAGUCGGCAUUGGGCCCAUUAUCUUUUCUAAAAAA
This 138-nucleotide small nuclear RNA is filed under the name Colobus angolensis palliatus. Its description in RNAcentral is "U4 spliceosomal RNA (ENSCANG00000009727.1)". It matches the Rfam family "U4 spliceosomal RNA". From Rfam's summary of the family: U4 small nuclear RNA (U4 snRNA) is a component of the major U2-dependent spliceosome. Lineage: Eukaryota; Metazoa; Chordata; Mammalia; Primates; Cercopithecidae. The record is from Rfam by way of RNAcentral.